AAAAAAAAAAAAAAAAAAAAAAAACUUAUCUGCAUCAAUGAUAGCAGAAUAAAAAGAGUAAAGAGUCAUCGCAGAUUAUCAGUAAUUUUCUUGACGUUAGCACCUCUGUAUAAGUGCUCACCUUAAGACAACUCACCAUCAAUAGAAUUAGGUAAUUUAAUUGAUUUGCGUCGAAGCAUGUAUCGUUAUUUUUAGAACGAAGUUCCUGAUGAUAGGCUUGAAAAAGAUGAGGAUUCUGUUCAACCAAACUAAAAAAAUAUAUGAAAAAACGAUGACAUCUCACGAAGCUGAUGCAGGCGGAAUGCGCAACCCUUCUGCGGAUGAUGAGCUCGUCACAAGGAAAUAAACAAUCAUCAAAUGAAUCGGAUGGUUUUUUAACGUUAUGGAAUGAAUAAAUCGAUAAUUAUGUAAUUAUUUAGUAUUUAGUUCUAGAGGGUUAGGCUAAUAGACCGGGAACUCCAGAGUUUUAAUUUAUUGAAAAUAGGUUUGUUUUAAUAAAUUGAUCUAUUUAACUAAUUUUAAUACAUAAUAUUGUUCAAAUUUAAAAUUAAUAUUGUCAAUUAAAUUUGAAUUAUUACACAGUGAUUAAAAGUUAACUUUUCUUUUAUAUAACGAAUUUUCGAUGUUAUUAAAUCCACAAAUAUUAAUAAUGGAAAAUAAAUAAAUCUUUCC
This 672-nucleotide long non-coding RNA is filed under the name Cotesia glomerata. Its description in RNAcentral is "uncharacterized LOC123265196, transcript variant X2". Lineage: Eukaryota; Metazoa; Arthropoda; Insecta; Hymenoptera; Braconidae. The record is from RNAcentral.